This 1269-nucleotide long non-coding RNA is filed under the name Homo sapiens (human). Its description in RNAcentral is "long non-coding RNA NONHSAT193743.1". The record is from RNAcentral. Lineage: Eukaryota; Metazoa; Chordata; Mammalia; Primates; Hominidae.
CGCUGAGGGAGCGUUGACAGGGAAGCAGCCGGAUGAUUGUUAGCUCCAUAAGACUUGAGACUAUGUCUGUUUUGGUCUCCAUCAUCUAACCAGCACAGUACCUGGUACAUAAUUGGCAUUCAGAUCUGCAGAAAAGGCUGUCUUGGAACAAUUUGGAUUCCCUUUAACUGGAACAGAGGUAGAUUCUUCAAGUUUACACUCCUAGCAUCAUUGUUUCUUCUCUCUCUCAACCUUCACCUAUGGCUGGUCUUGAAUUUCUGGGUUCAAGUGACCCUCCUGCCUCAGCCUCCUGAGUAGCUGGGAUUACAGGUGAUGCAGACAGAAAGCAUUGUAAAUUUAAGCCUGAUCCCAAUAUCCCUCCAACCUUCAGUGCCUUCAAUGAAGAUUAUGUUGGAAGUGGGUGGUCACGAGGACACAUGGCUCCAGCAGGAAAUAACAAAUUUUCAAAAAGCCAUGGCUGAAACCUUUUACCUUUCUAACAUUGUGCCUCAGGAUUUUGAUAAUAAUUCUGGAUAUUGGAACAGAAUAGAAAUGUACUGUCGAGAGCUGACAGAAAGGUUUGAAGAUGUUUGGGUGGUAUCUGGGCCUUUGACCUUACCUCAGACUAGAGGCGAUGGAAAGAAAAUAGUUAGUUACCAGCUGAGGUCAUCCCUGUGCUUUCUCUGAUGUUCCUGUUUCAAGAAGAGGUUGAUUCCAGACAAGUGAAACAUACCUGAAGAUUCUGGUUUGGACAUUAUAAAUGGUCUGACAAGAAAGUGAGCUUCAGAUUUUAGAACUCAGUGAUGGUGGUAAUGUUAGAAAUAUUUAACAAUCUGUGUUCUUUUAUAACAGCACUUUGCAAACUUCCAUUAUACUAACCCUAAAGGGGAGGAAAUUGAAAAUGCCCUCAGGAGUCUUGAGACAUCAUUUGAAGUGAUAUGGGAGUAAUAUUUUUUUUUAAGUCUCUUGCUUUAUAUUUAGGGAAAGCUUUUGUUCAUUUCCAUAUCUAUUUGUUUUAAUGAAAGUUAAAUUAUUUUACUGGUUGUCUCCCUACCCUCACCCUAAAUUUUCAAGUACCAUUGACAGCCUAGAAAGAGGGUGCUUGUUUUACUGUGACUUAGUAGGCUGCUACCCUUUGGCCUGGAACAGGUACCCCAGUGUGAGAAGUACCGUCUUCCAGGGUUUGUGCUGCCACAAAAGCAUCUGCUGAGGCUCUAUAGAUAACACAGGGGGCGACCACAUUCUUGUUGACUUUACCACACUUUGUGACUCCCUCACUUUUCAUGUUCC